Small nucleolar RNA from Oryctolagus cuniculus (rabbit), 84 nucleotides. The record is from Ensembl. Lineage: Eukaryota; Metazoa; Chordata; Mammalia; Lagomorpha; Leporidae.
CCGGCCCGUGAUGAGCACUUAUCCACGCGUGUUCGAGUCUCGCGACCGUGAGAUGACUCCACAUGCACUACCAUCUGAGGCCCC